Molecule: ribosomal RNA, 406 nt
Filed under: uncultured bacterium
Lineage: Bacteria
Description: partial 16S ribosomal RNA
Rfam family: Bacterial small subunit ribosomal RNA
Source: RNAcentral
AUUGAACGCUGGCGGCAGGCUUAACACAUGCAAGUCGAGCGAGCGGCGGACGGGUGAGUAAUGUAUGGGAAAGUGCCUGAGGGAGGGGGAUAACUACUGGAAAGGGUAGCUAAUACCGCAUACCAUCAGAUGUGCCCAGAGGGGAUGAGCUAGUAGGUGGGGUAAUGGCUCACCUAGGCAACGAUCCCUAGCUGGUCUGAGAGGAUGACCCGCCACACUGGAACUGAGACACGGUCCAGACUCCUACGGGAGGCAGCAGUGGGGAAUUUUGCACCAUGGGCGAAAGCCUGAUGCAGCCAUGCCGCGUGUGUGAAGAAGGCCUUCGGGUUGUAAAGCACUUUCAGCGAGGAGGCGUUACUCGCAGAAGAAGCACCGGCUAACUCCGUGCCAGCAGCCGCGGUAAUAC